Molecule: ribosomal RNA, 483 nt
Filed under: uncultured bacterium
Lineage: Bacteria
Description: partial 16S ribosomal RNA
Rfam family: Bacterial small subunit ribosomal RNA
Source: RNAcentral
AUUGAACGCUGGCGGCAUGCUUUACACAUGCAAGUCGAACGGCAGCGCGGGCUUCGGCCUGGCGGCGAGUGGCGAACGGGUGAGUAAUGCAUCGGAACGUGCCCAGUAGUGGGGGAUAGCCCGGCGAAAGCCGGAUUAAUACCGCAUACGACCUGAGGGUGAAAGCGGGGGACCGAAAGGCCUCGCGCUAUUGGAGGGCCGAUGUCGGAUUAGCUAGUUGGUGGGGUAAAGGCUUACCAAGGCGACGAUCCGUAGCUGGUCUGAGAGGACGACCAGCCACACUGGGACUGAGACACGGCCCAGACUCCUACGGGAGGCAGCAGUGGGGAAUUUUGGACAAAGGGGGCAACCCUGAUCCAGCCAUGCCGCGUGCGGGAAGAAGGCCUUCGGGUUGUAAACCGCUUUUGUUCGGGAAGAAAUCCUCUGGGCUAAUACCCCGGGGGGAUGACGGUGCCGGAAGAAUAAGCACCGGCUAACUACGUG